CUGAAGGGCCAGAGCUCCAUGGCAGUGCCUGUGUCUCUGCACAUGGCCCUGGGUGAUGAGCUCCAGACAUGGCAUAAGGAGAGGGAACUACAGCCAAGUCUUGGUUUCUUAGACAGGUUCCUGAGGAUGGGAAUUAAGCACAAGCUCCACUGCUCUGCAGGGUGAAGCCCAGGAAUGGCUGUGGUGUACAGACCCCAGAGGUGUGGGUCGUGGAAGAGGCCAGCCUGACCUUCCUACAUGUGAGUUUAUUGUGCUCGUGGAGUCUCUGGUGUUUUCUUCCCCUCCCUAGAACCAUUCCAGGGUAAGUGGUUGUUUGACCUUCUGGCUUCAUUAAAUAGAUUUGUCACCCCUGGAAAAGGGACCUUCAGCAGCUGACCCUGCGUUCAGCCCAGCAUUAUCUGCCCUCCCCUCUUGCAGUCCUUUAGUGCUGUGUGUUCCCAGUGGAGAUACAAA
This is a non-coding RNA of Taeniopygia guttata (zebra finch), 453 nucleotides long. NCBI's taxonomy places the organism in Eukaryota, Metazoa, Chordata, Aves, Passeriformes, Estrildidae. The record is from RefSeq and is a predicted model, not a curated record.